UGGGGAGUACGGCCGCAAGGUUAAAACUCAAAUGAAUUGACGGGGGCCCGCACAAGCGGUGGAGCAUGUGGUUUAAUUCGAUGCAACGCGAAGAACCUUACCUGGCCUUGACAUCCAGAGAACUUAGCAGAGAUGCUUCGGUGCCUUCGGGAACUCUGAGACAGGUGCUGCAUGGCUGUCGUCAGCUCGUGUUGUGAAAUGUUGGGUUAAGUCCCGCAACGAGCGCAACCCUUAUCCUUUGUUGCCAGCGGGUGAUGCCGGGAACUCAAAGGAGACUGCCGGUGAUAAACCGGAGGAAGGUGGGGAUGACGUCAAGUCAUCAUGGCCCUUACGGCCAGGACUACACACGUGCUACAAUGGCGCAUACAAAGAGAAGCGACCUCGCGAGAGCAAGCGGACCUCAUAAAGUGCGUCGUAGUCCGGAUCGGAGUCUGCAACUCGACUCCGUGAAGUCGGAAUCGCUAGUAAUCGUAGAUCAGAAUGCUACGGUGAAUACGUUCCCGGGCCUUGUACACACCGCCCGUCACACCAUGGGAGUGGGUUGCAAAAGAAGUAGGUAGCUUAACCUCCGGGAGGGCGCUUACCACUUUGUGAUUUAUGACUGGGGUGAAGUCGUAACAAGGUAACCGUAGGGGAACCUGCGGCUGGAUCAC
This 653-nucleotide ribosomal RNA is filed under the name uncultured Pantoea sp. RNAcentral's name for it is "bacterial SSU rRNA". It matches the Rfam family "Bacterial small subunit ribosomal RNA", at positions 874 to 1526 of the family's 1533-position model. The record is from RNAcentral. Lineage: Bacteria; Pseudomonadati; Pseudomonadota; Gammaproteobacteria; Enterobacterales; Erwiniaceae.